UGGACCAAUGAUGAGCAGUGGUGGUGUAUGAUUCAUGGAUCAUGACUAAAAGUCUUGAGUCUGAGGUCCAC
Small nucleolar RNA from Mesocricetus auratus (golden hamster), 71 nucleotides. Lineage: Eukaryota; Metazoa; Chordata; Mammalia; Rodentia; Cricetidae. The record is from Ensembl.